UUCGCAAUGCCCGAAAGGGUGACGAAGCGACGCCGCGUGUGGGAAGAAGGCCUUCGGGUUGUAAACCACUGUCAGGAGUUAAGAAAUGCAAGGGUGUAAAUAGCAUCCUUGCUUGACUAAGGCUCCAGAGGAAGCCACGGCUAACUCUGUGCCAGCAGCCGCGGUAAUACAGAGGUGGCAAGCGUUGUUCGGAAUUAUUGGGCGUAAAGAGCACGUAGGCGGCUCUGCAAGUCAGCUGUGAAAGCCUUCUGCUUAACGGAAGAACAGCAGUUGAUACUACAGAGCUGGAGUGCGGGAGGGGAGAGCGGAACUUCUGGUGGAGCGGUGAAAUGCGUAGAUAUCAGAAGGAACGCCGGCGGCGAAAGCGACUCUCUGGCCCGUAACUGACGCUGAGUGUGCGAAAGCUAGGGGAGCAAACGGGAUUAGAUACCCCGGUAGUCCUAGCCGUAAACGAUGGGCACUAAGUAGAGGGGUUUU
Molecule: ribosomal RNA, 477 nt
Filed under: uncultured bacterium
Lineage: Bacteria
Description: bacterial SSU rRNA
Rfam family: Bacterial small subunit ribosomal RNA
Source: RNAcentral